This is an RNA transcript of Eriocheir sinensis (Chinese mitten crab), 4714 nucleotides long. RefSeq lists it as uncharacterized. The record is from RefSeq and is a predicted model, not a curated record. The transcript is spliced from 6 exons. NCBI's taxonomy places the organism in Eukaryota, Metazoa, Arthropoda, Malacostraca, Decapoda, Varunidae.
AAAUUUCAGCUUGGUCGGAUAGAUGGGAGAUGCCCUUUAACGUAGACAAGUGCCAGGUCCUUCAAGUUGGAACGAGGAAUAAAAAGUUUGAUUACGAAAUGCGCGGCGUUAAACUCAAAAGCGUUCAAUGCGUCAAGGACUUGGGGGUCAAAAUCGCGUCAAACCUCAAAUUCUCACAGCAAUGCAUCGAUGCAGCAAAUAAAGCGAACAGAAUGUUGGGCUUCAUUAAAAGAAACUUUUAUUUAAGAAUAAAGAUGUAAUACUCCCGCUCUACAACAGUUUAGUCAGACCCCACUUGGAAUAUGCGGUACAGUUUUGGUCUCCCCACCAUGCAAAGGAUAUUGCUAAAUUAGAAGGUGUUCAGCGUCGGGCAACGAAAAUGAUCCCUUCCUUGCGCAACAAAUCCUACGAAGAAAGGCUUUCUACCCUUAACAUGUUCUCUCUUGAGAAACGUCGCCUCCGAGGAAAACUGAUCGAAUGUUUUAAAAUACUUAAUGGUUUCACGAAUGUAGACAGAUCAACAUUGUUUAUGAUCGAUGACACUUUGCGCACGAGGAACAAUGGCGUAAAACUCAGAUGUAGACAAGUAAAUUCAGACUGCACCAAAUUUUUCUUCACCAACGUUGUAGUGCGAGAAUGGAAUAAGCUCCCAUCAUCAGUAGUCCAGUGUAACACGAUUGACUCCUUCAAAAAUAAGCUCGACCGUCACUUCCUUCAACUUAAUAUCAACUAGAGUAGAAAUGCAACGUUUUGGAGUCUUCUGAUUAAUGUAAAAUCACUUAGGUUUAAGGACAGACCACCAAGUCUGGACCAUGGGGUCUGUGUGGUCUGAUUUUCUAUGUAAAUCUAUCUAUGUAAAUCUCUCUCUCUCUCUCUCUCUCUCUCUCUCUCUCUCUCUCUCUCUCUCUCUCUCUCUCUCUCUCUCUCUCUCUCUCUCUCUCUCUCUCUCUCUCUCUCUCUCUCUCUCUCUCAUGACCUUGAAAUUAUUUGUUUGAAUGGAAUAUUUGUUAAUAGUCUUUACUGGUUCAUCAUAAAUUCAUUAUUCCGGUAUUUUUAAAAGUUUUUUUCCUGUCUUGUGGGUGAGAAAAAUAGUGCUGUGAAUUCCAAUUAUGAUUACGUUGUCCUGCAUUGUUAUUUGUUCUUUCAUAACAUGUUCAUUCUACCUCCUUCAAAGGUCUGGUCUCAGUUCACUGAUUUGCCCACAAAUAUCAGGAAGUCAGCACUUUCACUAUAGCUUCAGCAAAAUUGCUUGCUUCUCAGAUAAUCUGCUUCAGCACUGAUGUAGCUGGUGGCAGACAGUAGAGAUAUUUUCAAGGCUUUCAGCACAACAGGUUUGGAAAAGUGUUGUGUCAUGGUAUUACAGGGUGCACUUCAGGUUAUCUGGUGUAUCCAACUCAGGUGUUGAUACAACACUGUUUUCAUACAAAUGUCAGUUGUACAUAAACAAGAGAACUUUGUGCCAGUGGUAAACACAUUGUUUGCAUGGCGUGUAUAAGGCCUUUGGGACAUGAGGAAGGCAGCUUUAGGCGGUCCGCAGCAGACACGUCCGUACACAGAUGGAAGGCAAGCGUAUCCGUUCACUAGUUAGGGUUCUACAACUGCCUCUGAGAGUAAUGCAGUGAUAAGGUCAUGAAAGUUAAUGUCAGCAUUUUUAUUUUUGCUAAAAUUUGCAUUUCACGUUUUCUGAAACGUUAAUAUUGUUAAAUAUAUAUAAAAAACGAAACAAAUAAAAUGACUUCAAUCUUCUGUUAGCAGUUUUUCUUAUAGAAUAUGUUCCUCAUUUUACAAACUGUUUGACGUAGUUGGUUAAGGCCACAUUUGGACAAAAAAUAUUAAUAGGCGGCGUAGAUUCCCUUGCCAUUGAUCGUAUGUAGUGUUAAAGGUCAAUAGUUGCUACACUUGGUAAUGCGCAAUUCCCUGAAAUUGAUCCACACGUCGGGUUGGCCACGCCCUCAGCACACACCUGGAUGCAAACCUUUGAGGACUUUGGUCUCAGCCAUGGUGGCCAAAACUCGCCACGCCUCCCGGCCUUCCAGCCUCAAGUACCUCGUCUGGGCCCUUCAGUGUCUAGGACUUCAUUGUUUGAAGAGGCCAACCACCGCCGCCGCCGCUGUUGACGCUGUGGAGAUAAGUGUCCCCCUCCUGCUGUGGGCCAUAUUUGUGAGAACAUUCCAAAUCAUUCAAAUUGUAACCGAUGCUACUCGAAGCCAUUUAUCUUACACAGGCGACGUGGGUGCCCUGGCGGAGGAGCUUACCGGUGUUCUCACAACAGCUGUAGCGAUGCUGGGACAGUCUAUGCUCUUAAUCAAGGGUCCGGUUUUGAACCAAAUUCUAUCAGAAUGUGAAGAAGAGCCUUCUCCUAGUAAGACAAAACAAGUCGGCUUUUCAGCUACAAUAUUUUCGACAGAGAGAAUCAUGACUCUGCUUUUUUACUGUUCUUCUGUUGUGGGUGUUUGUCUAAACUUUUCUUUUCUACCGUUUAUUCCUGGCUAUUUCAAAUUUGAGAUGACAAUAUACAUGGUCCAUACUACUGCCGUUCUAUUUGGAAUUAUGGUGACUGCCGCGCUUUUUCGCGAAGUGCUGAGCAUCGCUUCACGGAAGCUAGACGCUGACCUGGACGAGCGUGUCCUCCAGGGCGGCGCCGAGGGACUCACCCAGAGGCUCCACGUGCUGGAGAGGACGAUUCGGAAAGUGGAGUUGUUACGAAGAAUGACUGUUGAUUACCUUAUGUUUGCUGUCUCCACGCUGAUGUGUAGCUCCACGUUCUGGAUCAUUGUCAACCUGUACUGCGCCAUUCGCUCCCUGACCGGUGAAUAUGUGGGGAUAGUAAGUCCUUUUAGGAGGAUUAUGUACUUUUUGAUCAACAGCACCACCCUCUUCCAUUUGUGCUACAGCACCCAUCAUUUCUCCCAGCAGGUGCAGCGCGUGUCCAGCCAGCUGAGGGACCUGAGGGUGGUGGCGCCCGGGGAGGAGAACAAGGCACAGCUGCAGUACCUCAUCUGGACCCUGGAGAGCAUGGAGACCUUUGACAUGGGCUCGUGGUAUCACCUCAACCCCAACACCCUCGUUUCGGUGACGACCUUCGUGUUGACCUACCUGGUGGUGCUGCUGCAGGUGGGGAGCUACAAGACCCAGGGGGAAUCCUCUGCAUGGGCGAACAUUACAACCUACUAGAAAGCUUAUGAAUCAAUCUGGAGUGGAUGCACGAUGGUUUUGUCACCGCUGGGGUUCGUAAUGGACUCGCAAAUCGCAAUCGCCGGCCGUGGCCUCGCUCUUAUAGCUUUGUUUGUUUCUUUGUUUUCUAUAAACUUCUAUAUCCGAUGUUUCACCGUCCUCAUGUUAUAGCGUAAGAUAGGGUGAGCAUUGAACAUGUUACAACAGCGGGAGGACUUUUUUUUGUCCAUUUACGUUCGGCCUGUGGCGUCGGUAGGGUUUCGCAAUGUGAUCCUCAGGGCCGCUUUCACAGUCAUCUGGUACGCACCCUAACCAAAGGCCCUACCAUCCUGGUAGCAGCCGUUACCAUCGCCUCGAUCCGCUUACACAGUCGCUGUUUUCGUGGUAUCGGCGACUACCAGCGUGGUGACGAUCAUGACAACUUGACAAGACGAAGGCGCGUGAUUCGGCAGUGUUGGUAUGCCGGAGCGGCGGGAAAAGUCAACGUUACAUCAGCUGAGCGGAGGAUUACGAAGGAGUAAUGUGAAAAAUAAACGUACAAAAAGUAAACGUGAAGAAUAUAUAUAAAGAGUAACUGUGAAGAAUAAAUAUGAUGAAAAAAUGAGGAGUGUCUCGCUGAUACACCCCUCAAAUCUGCUGCUAGCCUAAUAUUUCCUAGGCGGAAAAGGUGAAAUAAUGGUGAGAAGUAUUGAUUAAAGUUCUCUUAUAUUAGCAGAUGUCAGCAAGACACUCUUCACCAAUAUCAAUUAUAUUUAUUCAUUAUUCACACUUAUUUAUCAGACUUCACAUUUAUUCUUUACUUAAUAGGACUGAUUUCGUUAUAUAUAUGUUCUAUGCUUACAUAUUAGGCUAACUAGAAUAAUACGAGUUUGACUAAGAAGGCAUAACAGAUGAAUAAUGGUGACAAGUAUUAAAGUCCUCCAUUCUUCUUUGGUGUGUACUUUUGCAACAAUAAACCAUCAAUCAAUCAAAUUGAAAUUCUCAGCAGGACGUUUACUGGUCAGCAGGUGAAGUGAGUUCAUGUCAUUCAAAUUCUUCUAAAUUUUUUCUCAUAUUACCAUUGAAGCCGUGCAACGUGUAGCUGUAUUGUUUAAUAUUUUUUCACAUCUAUUUAGAGAAAUAAUAUAACCACUUGAGAGCAAGAAUUUGUGUUAUUUACUAAUUAAUGUCAUUGGUAAGCUCCACUGGGGAGCCUCCGCGGCUACCAGAGCUCCGUUACCAGAGGUUCCAAUCUCUGAUACUGAAGCAAACAAACAGCGCCGCGAAAGACGACUGUGAAAGCGAAUUUCUUGGGAGCGGCGAUCGCCGCUCAUUGGUAACGAUCAACACAAACAAACGUGACUGUGAAAGCGGCCCUUAGUGGCGCAGGGAACUGUUUUAUAACGGUGCCAUCUUGUUUGACUCAAGCUGCCCCCUGAGCUCAUCUUGAUCCCCUUAGAGAGCUUCGCCUGUCCGGAUUGAUACUGUCAUCGGAGAGGGCGCUUUCCGCCACCACCACCACCAUCACCACCGCCAGCGCCACCGUCAGCACUCCGCCACG